Molecule: transfer RNA, 71 nt
Filed under: Fulvia fulva CBS 131901
Lineage: Eukaryota; Fungi; Ascomycota; Dothideomycetes; Mycosphaerellales; Mycosphaerellaceae
Description: tRNA-Arg (CCT) (tRNA-Arg-CCT-2-1)
Rfam family: tRNA
About the family: Transfer RNA (tRNA) molecules are approximately 80 nucleotides in length. Their secondary structure includes four short double-helical elements and three loops (D, anti-codon, and T loops).
Source: RNAcentral
CGCCUGCUAGUUUAAUGGUAGAACAAAACAUUCCUAAUGUUUUGGUUUAAGUUCGAUUCUUAAGCAGGCUG